RNAcentral lists this ribosomal RNA (497 nucleotides) under uncultured bacterium. Its description in RNAcentral is "partial 16S ribosomal RNA". It matches the Rfam family "Bacterial small subunit ribosomal RNA", at positions 28 to 507 of the family's 1533-position model. The record is from RNAcentral.
GAUGAACGCUGGCGGCGUGCCUAAUACAUGCAAGUCGAGCGAACAGAUGAGGAGCUUGCUCCUCUGACGUUAGUGUCGCACGGGUGAGUAACACGUGGGUAACCUACCGAUUAGACUAGCUUACCUUCGGGAAACCGGAGCCAAUGCAGGCCAAUAUAUUUAACCUCUUACAUCAUUAUAAAACGACUGAUUUGCUUUCACGCUUCGACGGUACCGCACCGCCUUAGCUAGCUUGUGAGGGAACGGCUUACAAAGGCUACGCUGCGUAACCGACCUCAGAGCGUGAUCGGGCACACGGGAACUGAGACACGGUCCAGACUCCUACGGGAGGCAGCAGUAGGGAAUCCUACGCGAUGCGGGAGUGCCGGACGGAGCAACGCCGCGUGAGUGAUGAAGGUCUUCGGAUCGUAAAACGCUGUUAUUAGGGAUGAAGAAAUGUGUAAGUAAAUAUGAACGUAUUGACGGUACCUAAGCAGAAAGCCACGGCUAACUACGUG